Molecule: ribosomal RNA, 500 nt
Filed under: uncultured bacterium
Lineage: Bacteria
Description: partial 16S ribosomal RNA
Rfam family: Bacterial small subunit ribosomal RNA
Source: RNAcentral
AUUGAACGCUGGCGGAAUGCUUUACACAUGCAAGUCGAACGGCAGCACGGACUUCGGUCUGGUGGCGAGUGGCGAACGGGUGAGUAAUGUAUCGGAACGUGCCCAGUCGUGGGGGAUAACGUAGUGAAAAUUACGCUAAUACCGCAUACGAUCUAUGGAUGAAAGCGGGGGAUCGCAAGACCUCGCGCGAUUGGAGCGGCCGAGAUCAGAUUAGGUAGUUGUGGGGGUAAAGGCCCACCAAGCCAACGAUCUGUAGAUGGUCUGAGAGGACGACCAGCCACAAUGGAACGGAGACAAGGUCCAGACUCCUACGGGAGGCAGCAGUGGGGAAUUUUGGACAAUGGGCGAAAGCCUGAUCAAGCCAUUCCGCGUGCAGGAUGAAGGCCCUCGGGUUGUAAACUGCUUUUGUACAGAACGAAAAGGUUUCUACUAAUACUAGGAGCUCAUGACGGUACUGUAAGAAUAAGCACCGGCUAACUACGUGCCAGCCGCCGCCGUAA